UUAUUUUUGGAGGUGAAAAGACUAUCUUAGUUUUGAUUAUCAAACGGCCACCUAUUUUUGAAAACGCCUUAAACAGAUGGAGUAUUGUUCGAAAUAAAUUUUGGCGUUGGAAUUUUUGAUUUCCGUCAACCCGUUGACGAGAUAUUCUCACUUUUGAAUUAUGGGUGGGGGUGGAGAGAGAGAGAGUAGUGGUGUAAAGUUAAAAUUCCGCGCGCACUUCGCUACGCCGACAGCGUGUGUAUUACACCGGGAGAUUUUGAGUGAUAACAGUGUAAAAGCACCCAAAGUAUAAUAGGUUAUAGCUGAUAGUCUCUACUACACACGGACAAUGUUCACGAUACAGACGGUAAGGCCGAUUAGCGACGGUAAAGACAUAUUUAUAAUCAAUGUUUAUCGAUUGGGUGAAACCACGGUGUGACUCGUGGGUUGUGAUGAUAAUACAUUGCAAGAUUGAAAACAUUUUUUUUUUUUUUUUCCAGCAAUACUAAUACGGUGUCUAUUUCGAUACAAUUGCUAUAACAAUUGAAAUUAUAAUACAGCGACUGUGUCUUGAAUGGUUUUUUUCUUAUUAUGAUCUCGUAUUUUAUUUAACGAUUUAUCAAGCGUAUAAGUAAUGUUAAUUGAUACCUGCACAUGUGAGUUGGAUGCCUACAGAGGACAAUGUACAAUUAACUGGCAAGUUUUAGCUGUGUAACUGUACAAAAUACAUUAACAUACAUAUUAUUAUUAUUGUUAUGUAUCUAUACAAAUAUUCAUUUUUUUUUUUUGUUUCAGGCGAAUCAAUAAGUUUUGUUUUAAUGUAUAUGUAAUACCGAAUAUGCAUUACUGACUUGUUAUGCCAAUCAAUAUUAUUCAUAUGUUGAUAACAACUAUCAAGCUCGAUUUACAACUGAGUUACACCAUAAAACUGUACCGGACAUAUUUUUCCACAAUAAAAUUCAGUAAAUUGGUUAUCUAAGACAAUCUAAAUUAACUAAAAACACCUUUGGCUAGACGAUUUGAACUUUGUUGGAUACAUUUAAAAAUCUUAUGCUAAUUUGCUAUCUUCAAAGAAAACCAUAAAAUAAGGAUGAAACGGUGUGGUAAAAUUUCAAUAUUAUGAUGGCUAGGUUGAUUAAUUGAAGUAUUAUUUUGAAGUACAAUUUGCAAUUUAGAACAAGUCAAAAUAAAAGUAUCGC
Molecule: non-coding RNA, 1178 nt
Organism: Cinara cedri
Lineage: Eukaryota; Metazoa; Arthropoda; Insecta; Hemiptera; Aphididae
Source: the annotation of a GenBank genome assembly